This is a non-coding RNA of Schistosoma haematobium, 78 nucleotides long. NCBI's taxonomy places the organism in Eukaryota, Metazoa, Platyhelminthes, Trematoda, Strigeidida, Schistosomatidae. The record is from Rfam.
ACCUUUCAGUAUUCGUGCCAAGAUUUCGUCAUACAGCAGGCUAUCAGGGAUGAUGAGAUCUCCAAAAUAAGUGAAGUG